RNAcentral lists this ribosomal RNA (497 nucleotides) under uncultured bacterium. RNAcentral's name for it is "partial 16S ribosomal RNA". It matches the Rfam family "Bacterial small subunit ribosomal RNA", at positions 28 to 507 of the family's 1533-position model. The record is from RNAcentral.
GAUGAACGCUGGCGGCGUGCCUAAUACAUGCAAGUCGAGCGAACAGACGAGGAGCUUGCUCCUCUGACGUUAGCGGCGGACGGGUGAGUAACACGUGGAUAACCUACCUAUAAGACUGGGAUAACUUCGGGAAACCGGAGCUAAUACCGGAUAAUAUAUUGAACCGCAUGGUUCAAUAGUGAAAGACGGUUUUGCUGUCACUUAUAGAUGGAUCCGCGCCGCAUUAGCUAGUUGGUAAGGUAACGGCUUACCAAGGCGACGAUGCGUAGCCGACCUGAGAGGGUGAUCGGCCACACUGGAACUGAGACACGGUCCAGACUCCUACGGGAGGCAGCAGUAGGGAAUCUUCCGCAAUGGGCGAAAGCCUGACGGAGCAACCCCGCGUGAGUGAUGAAGGUCUUCGGAUCGUAAAACUCUGUUAUUAGGGAAGAACAAAUGUGUAAGUAACUAUGCACGUCUUGACGGUACCUAAUCAGAAAGCCACGGCUAACUACGUG